Molecule: long non-coding RNA, 1217 nt
Organism: Actinia tenebrosa (Australian red waratah sea anemone)
Lineage: Eukaryota; Metazoa; Cnidaria; Anthozoa; Actiniaria; Actiniidae
Source: RefSeq, a predicted model, not a curated record
GGCGUACGAGAUGGGGAAAGAGGAGUUUAGAAUGUACAGUUAUUCAUCGUUUUUUAAACGGAAAAUGUGGUAAUGUUAUGGUACGAGAACAGGAAUAUUCUAYAGCUAUGUGGGAUACCUGCAGUGGAGGCACGAUAAUUGGCUAAAGAGAACUUGAAAGCACGACAGAGAUCCAAAGAGCAAGCAUCAAACUYAGGUCGAUCUUUUCCUAGAUGGAAGUGCAAUUACAACAGUUCUGACACCAUGUAAUMAGCUUAAUAGAUGAAUAAAUCCAAAGACAAUGGAUAACAAGACUUUACUCUAAGAAAAACAUGGAGGUCACACAGGACCACACAAGCAUGAUGGGAAAUAUUAAUACAKGCAACCCAACUACAUAAGAUUGCAAGGAAUAUUUCUAUUGUAAGACUCUUAGGAAUAAUCCUAAAAUAACUGAGCAAAGGGGUAAAAACUGUGUAGGGCAUAAYCAGAGGUACAAAUGCUAAUGGGAGGAGCUAAGAGGUUCGCUUKAGAUUUCAAUGUAUACCAAUAUCUAAACUUGUGCAUGAUGGUACUCGUGCUGAAAUAUUAUAUUGGUAUUUUGUAUAGUUAACGGACUGAAGAAUGAUAAUUUUUAUUUUGUUUUCAUAAGAUGAGUAGUGGUAAUAUGGAGACUGAUGUCUCGCUUACAUAUAGUUCAUCUGUAAAAAUAUUUAUUUUUCUCUCUCAUAACAUACCUCCCUCCUGAGUUUUGAGCUCCUGCRAGGAUAAGGUACGAAAGGAAAAAAAUUGAAACUAGCAUGUUAGUGAUAGAUAUGAUUUGAGAAUAUAUAUAGGUAUAUAUAUAACUAAAAACAUUGUUGAACCUAUGAUAAAGCUCUUACAUGUAUAUCUGUGUCUCUUUCUUUUUUAARAUGUUUUUUGUAUGUUUUUUUGUUGAAUAAUCUUAAUAAGAAAAUUGUAAUAUACAAGGAUAAAUGUGUUUAAUAAAACCAGCUAUACUACAAUUUUCUCCAAAAUUAAAUGUGCUACCUAGUAUUUUGGAGAACCAUCCAUGCAUUUUACCAGCCAUCCGCUUCACAGUGUAGAAAACUUCCUUGACCAACAUUGCUAGGGGAAAAAGGGGGAAAGUGGCACAUUAUUUUUGCAGAAGAUUAUAUUUUAAUGGCAUGUUUGGAAUGCGUAGUUUGGACGGAUCAUUCGGUUAGUAAAAUCAUAUGUUUGGAGUGAGAAAUCAUUUA